CAUGUUCCAUUUUUUUUUUAAGGAGUGAGUUCCUUCAUUUGUGAACCCAAUUAGAAGACCCAAAAAAAAACCCAUCUCAUCUUCUCCUUCUCGAACGUCGUUCUUGUUUGAUGAAAUUAAUCCAUCUUUCGCUCAUGUUUAGCAAAUUCUUUCUGCAUGAAAGUUGUAGCCCUUGAAAAACUAACCAGUUUAGGUUCAAGAAUCAAUCAAUUUGGAGCAUUAUUGUAGGAGAUAACCCCUCUUCUUGUCGCUGCUACUGCAGUUGUUGCUUUCAGCACCAGCUUCUAUUUUCCAUGUUUUGAAGAUCUUGUGCUUAUUUUCCGCUUCUUGUUUCUGAAUAGAAGUUGUAGAUCUCUUUUCGUAGAUGAAUUUAGGCACAAAAAUCACUCAAUUUGGAUCCGUAUUCUAGGGUUUUUUUUAUGAGAAUUGAAGAAUUGAAAACAAUAUUGGGAACUCUGAUAUUGACAUUUGGGGUAAUACGGUAAUUCCCGAAAAACACAUUCAAGCACCUAAUUAAUGAAAUUAAUUUUAAUGGGAACUAUUUGGGGAAUACAUGUGACAUAUUAGGGUAUUAAUCAAGGUAUUCUAUCCUCCUAAUCACCCAUUAAGUAAAGCUUAAACAUAGAUACUUCCAGCAGUAUUCUGCAGCAGACCCACCUUGGGAAAUGACCAAAUUGACCCCCCUAAGAAUGAGAAAUUACAAAACUACCUACACCCACCCUUCCUAUAAAUACAGAGCAACCUCUCAUAGUUUUCUCCACCCCAGAAAAGUCCAGAAACCCUCUGCCCAGAGCUCUUCCCUCCUCUCCUUUUGUCUCGCCAGUUCUGGCGUGUUCCAGAUUGGGUAAGCAAUCGUUUGUGGAAAAACCAAGGGAAACCAAGCCAACCGAAGCCAAACCCACCAGCUAAGGGAAAGUGUUAGUGAAGAAAUCUCUGAUUCGUGAGCCAUAGUUGAGGAGAUAUCACCCCACAAUUAAGAUUCCUAUUCGUGAUUUUGCAGGGUUAGUUAAUGCUGGAAGUUGAAUCAGGGAUCGCGAAUGCAAAAAGAGAUAUAUGCUAGCUGAAUUUCAUAUAGAAGAUUGGGUAAGCAAUCGUUUGUGGAAAAACCAAGGGAAACCAAGCCAACCGAAGCCAAACCCACCAGCUAAGGGAAAGUGUUAGUGAAUAAAUCUCUGAUUCGUGAGCCAUAGUUGAGGAGAUAUCACCCCACAAUUAAGAUUCCUAUUCGUGAUUUUGCAGGGUUAGUUAAUGCUGGAAGUUGAAUCAGGGAUCGCGAAUGCAAAAAGAGAUAUAUGCUAGCUGAAUUUCAUAUAGAAGGUUGUAAUAGUUUUUUUGUGAAUAUUAUUAAAGUUAAAUAUGAAGAGUUAUUGAAUAUUAUGGAUUAAUUCCUUGUGGGUUAAGAGCUAAGUUUGAUUAAUGCUAUU
This is a long non-coding RNA of Spinacia oleracea (spinach), 1424 nucleotides long. RefSeq lists it as uncharacterized. The record is from RefSeq and is a predicted model, not a curated record. Lineage: Eukaryota; Viridiplantae; Streptophyta; Magnoliopsida; Caryophyllales; Amaranthaceae. The transcript is spliced from 7 exons.